Molecule: long non-coding RNA, 597 nt
Organism: Pseudophryne corroboree (corroboree frog)
Lineage: Eukaryota; Metazoa; Chordata; Amphibia; Anura; Myobatrachidae
Exons: 3
Source: RefSeq, a predicted model, not a curated record
GUGAACAAGCCCAGCAGUGAAACGUACGUCGGGACUAUUGACGUCAUCAAAGGACGUCGUGCGGCCACGCCCCCCCUUUUGGCUCGGGCAGCCGCAGCACCUCAGCGGGGACGGCGCGCGGCAGAAGUGAAUGAGGGAAGCUGGGAGCCGGCCGGAGUAUUGGAGGAGACUGAUACACGCCGGCAUCCAAAGCAGCUUGGAGCGGCGUUUGAUAAACCAGAUCAUCUCUAUCUAAAGAAGCCAAAUAUGCAGCUGCUUUCUAUAGGAAGUGUUCUAGGGCCACUGGGUACCUGCUAUGUGAAGUGGUGAGGACUGCAGCUGAAUCCUGGCAGUGUCAUGGAGAGAGAGGCAGUGUGCAGUUCAGGGUGGCAGCACUGUGGCCGCGCAGCCUGCAUGUAAGCUGACAGACUACCACUUUUUUAUUGAUAUGUGUAAACAUUGCUGCCAUCACAAAUUGUAGGGCCCAUGAGUGUCAAAAUACUCUGCCCUCCCCCCUCAAUUACUGAAGAUAUAUAUAAACACAAAACGCAUUAUGCAAGCACAUUUUGAUACCUUGCAGGCUAUUCACAGCACAAUAAAACCACAAUUUAUGAAUAA